UACGAAGGGUGCAAGCGUUAUUCGGAGUUACUGGGCGUAAAGAGUAUGUAGGCGGUUUGUUAAGUUAGUUGUUAAAGACCAUGGCUCAACUGUGGAAAGGCAGCUAAUACUGAUGAGCUAGAGCGCAGAAGAGAGGAGUGGAAUUCCCGGAGUAGCGGUAAAAUGCGUAGAUCUCGGGAGGAACACCGGUUGCGAAGGCGGCUUCUUGGUCUGUGGCUGACGCUAAAGUACGAAAGCGUGGGGAGCAAACAGGAUUAGAUACCCUGGUAGUCCACGCUGUAAACGAUGAUCACUAGAUGUGGGUCGGGCAUAGCCUGAUCCGUGUCGAAGCUAACGCGUUAAGUGAUCCGCCUGGGAAGUACGGUCGCAAGAUUAAA
Molecule: ribosomal RNA, 377 nt
Filed under: uncultured bacterium
Lineage: Bacteria
Description: bacterial SSU rRNA
Rfam family: Bacterial small subunit ribosomal RNA
Source: RNAcentral